Molecule: ribosomal RNA, 377 nt
Filed under: uncultured bacterium
Lineage: Bacteria
Description: bacterial SSU rRNA
Rfam family: Bacterial small subunit ribosomal RNA
Source: RNAcentral
AGACGUAGGGGGCGAGCGUUGUCCGGAAUUACUGGGCGUAAAGAGCACGUAGGCGGAUAUUUAAGUCAGGUGUGAAAGACCGUGGCUCAACCACGGGGUUGCACUUGAAACUGGGUAUCUUGAGGGCAGGAGAGGGCAGUAGAAUUCCUGGUGUAGCGGUGAAAUGCGUAGAAAUCAGGAGGAAUACCAGUGGCGAAGGCGACUGCCUGGACUGACCCUGACGCUGAGGUGCGAAAGCGUGGGUAGCAAACAGGAUUAGAUACCCUGGUAGUCCACGCCGUAAACGAUGGACACUAGGUGUAGGAGGUAUCGACCCCUUCUGUGCCGCAGCUAACGCAAUAAGUGUCCCGCCUGGGGAGUACGGUCGCAAGGCUGAA